Molecule: long non-coding RNA, 1716 nt
Filed under: Vombatus ursinus (common wombat)
Lineage: Eukaryota; Metazoa; Chordata; Mammalia; Diprotodontia; Vombatidae
Description: lncRNA (ENSVURG00010016747.1)
Source: RNAcentral
UCCCUGCUUCCCACUCCCUAAUUGACUAAGGUGUGACAACUUCCUAUUUCUUCUUCCAUUAUAGGCCAAGAAAGACGUCCUACUCACGUAGCCGACCAGCCACCAUGAAGCCCUCCAAGAUUGAACCUGCCUUGACCUCCGACUCAUCGACAAGCAGUAAAAAAGGGGCAAAGAGGGAGCGUACCAUGUUCAAUGAAGUUCAGCUGGAUAUUCUCCUGGGGGAGUUUCAUAAGAACCCAUACCCUAACUACUCCGUCAGAAGUGAGCUUGCUAACCGCCUGGAUGUUCCCGAGUCUAGAAUACAGAAUUGGUUUCAAAACCGAAGAGCCAAACACUCAAGACAACUGAAGGAAAAAGAAAGUCUGAAUUUAUCGGGACAGCCCCAGGACCAGGGAGAACAGAGCUCCUUGGUUCAUGGCUUGAAAAAUCCUCAGACUUCGGCUGCCAGCCAGGUUCCGCAGGAAAGUCUCCCAGAGACCCAGUUAGCUUGGCCAAAUAGAUCCAGGUUCCCCUCAUCUAAGAUGACGAAGGUGACCCUUGGGGAGAGUCCUGGCUUCCCAGAGACGGUGGCGACGGCCUCGGCACUCACCAAGGAGGCUUCCGCGAGCCCAGGAGCCUGGCUUCAGCCUCCUGCCCUGACUGUGGAGUCUCAUCCCUGUUUAAAGUCCCAGGCCUGGGGCAGCUCCCCCCAGAGCACACCCUCCCGGCUCCAGACCCUGAAGAGAGGACAGCAGCCCGAGAGGCAGCUGUGGCUUGAGUACCUCCGCCAGCUUCACGAGCAGUCACAGCAGUAUCCCUGGAUGCAGGAGUAUCUGGAGUACCUGCAGCAGCACCCAGUUCCAGUAGCACCGGCCCUAGCCCCCAGCCCGCCGGCAUCUCCCCUUGCAGAUACUCUUCCCAGUGCCUCAGCAUCCCUGGCCACAGAAGCCGCCGGGCCAGAGACCACUCCUGCCAAAUGAGUCCUCCCUCAGCCCGAAGUUGCAGGAGCGUCUGCAGUUACUUAGUAUCUCAACCAUUAUGGAACUCUUUCUUGUCCCAUUUCCCCCCCCCCCCCCCCCCCCCCCCCGCCCCAGCCUGUGAUCCGUGACCUGGUCGGCUUCCUGGGACCAGGCGGCUGUUUUUCCUAAAUUGUCUCUUUGACGUACUUUGAGUUGAACAGUGGAUUCCCCUUUUGUUGUAGAAGAACAGAUCUGUGCUCUGAGGUUGGUGAUGGAACUUGGGAGUGCCUGAGUCUGAGCUGAGUGGGUGGGUAGCCGUGGUUUUCCCUCUAGUUCUGCUCCAUAGUCAAUAAUUCAGAAUGAUGCCACCGUUUAGAGCAGCAGCGAUAAGCUCAAAGAGUGAUGCUCAUCUCUUAAUUAACAGGAUUAGCAAUGGACCAAGGAAGAAUGGUACAAGAGACCUGGGUGGUCUGCAUUGGCCUGUUCCAGAUGAAGGAAGAGCUUCCUGGCGCUGUCCCUGCCUUCCCAGCCAGUACGUGGGCCAUCAGUGCUUGUUCAGGGCACUCAUUUAGACGGUACUCUGACAGCAUCUCAGAAAUGGAAACCCUCGUAUUUCUUUUACAUUCACCCGACAAAUAUCCACCCUACAACGAGAUUUUUCUCUUAGCUGACGUUUAAAAAAACCCACCUAAUUGGUUGCCGAUAUUUGUUACUUAGAUAUUACUCAAAGACCGUCUCAGGAGGGCAUGGUUUGGAAUAAAUGUGUAUUAAGUGGGCA